Long non-coding RNA from Taeniopygia guttata (zebra finch), 5735 nucleotides. The record is from Ensembl. Lineage: Eukaryota; Metazoa; Chordata; Aves; Passeriformes; Estrildidae.
GCCCCCGCCGGAAGCAGCGCCCGGGAUGGCGGCGGGCGGCAGCGGGGCGUAGCGCCGGGCUCGCCGCCAUGCCCAAGUACUACGAGGACAAGGAGGAGGACGGGCGCGCCUGCAGCGGCGUGCGGGAGGACCUGCGGCAGUGCCUGCUGGAGAGCCCCUGCGUCCUGCGGGAAAACAAAAGCCCUAAACAAUGCUUGAGGGAAGGACACUGUAGGAGUUUGCAAGUGACAUUCUUUGCAUGCAAAAGAUCAAUGUUGGAUACCAGGGCAAGAUUCAGAGGAAGGAAAGGAUACUGAAGUCCUCGUCAAGAGACCUCACCAUGGAGCUUUGGGGUUCAUCAGCACUCUACACAAAACAGAGACUAAAAUAAGAAGAUAGUACCGUACCUGCUGCAUCCUUUCAUACAGUGUUUUCGUGGAAGGUAUCUACUCCUGAGUGUUCCAGCAGAUUAACCUGGAUGUGCAUUUAAAUGUUAAAAAGAAGGCAAGCAUAAAGCUGAAAGUUCUGGCCAAAAUGGGUACUUGUCAUGUACUUGCAAUAAAAAUGUGAAAUCCAGAACAAGCUGCAGAAGCUGUAAUUCUGUUUUGAAGUGGUCUUUUGUGACUUUACUGUAAAUUCUGAUAAUCUUUUACUAUUGGAAAUAAUACAAGGUAUGGAACUGGGAGUUCGCUUAAUGUGUUGAGGAAGAGUUUCCUUAGUAGAUGACCAUCUCAGAGGGUUUCUCAGACUAGAGAUAUUUUCAGAGAUGAGGACUUGACCAAGGUUGUAAAAUGUGUGUGCAAGCUGCUUCCUCUCCAGUAGAUUUGCUACUCAAUAAACCUGUAACAGAUGAAAGCAGUGCUGUUUUUCAGUUCCACACUGCUAAGGAAGUGGGAUUUAUGGGAGUAAGAAGCGUUAAAUAGUGCUUGAACCAUGACUGUGGUAAAUGUUAACUGGUUGUGUAUAAGACCUGCUUUUCCAAAGGAACAUUUCCUUUUUCUUCCUUCAGUGUCCCUGCCUCUUUAAGUGUCAAGCCUUUAAGAAAUAAAUGGUGUUGUAACUCUUACAUGUGGAAACUCAAAUAACUUCAGACUGAAGUUAUUUAUGAAGCAAGAUGAGGAAAUCGUGAGAAGGGAGAGAGCUAUAGUAACUUCUUUUCUUGGCUGAAGUUUAUAGCCAUGUAAUGAUCACAUUCAGUCUGAACAGAUGCAUGCUACACUUAUUGUGUGUUUCUAAAACUGAUGACUUCAGUGAAUGAGCACAUGUUGACUAUUUAAUUCUGUCUUAAGCAACUGUUCUGUAAUGAGUCAGAGAAUGUUUACAUUCCGUGUAUGUGUAGGACUUUAUUUUUGCCACCUAAAUCAACUCUGAUUUCAUAUUUCUGUGUUCUGCUGAUCAUGUGGAAACUAGUUCAUUUGUUCAAGUGCUGUAAGCAUCCUCUGUUUUCCACAGCCUACUUACCAUAUUAUCUUUUUACAUACACUAAAAUGAUCAUUUAUGUGUAUAAGAGUAUUUUUAACUUUAACACUCUAAUUCUAAAGUAUUACUCACAAGCUUUUUCCAUGGGGAAAAACAUAAAAAAGGUACUAAAAAUAAAUAUAAUGCCAGAUGGCAGGUAUUUUAAUGUCAUUUAAAGAGAGGAGUGGCAAUGGUAUGUGAGUUUGGUAGUCAAGGAGUCUCCCAUGGUAUGCCCAUGGUAUACAUGGGUUUGUAGGUUGAUUGUUCAAGUGAUCUUUAUUCCUUUCUCAGCCAUAAUCACUAAGCCUCUCCUAAUGGUCCUAAUGGACCAGAAACAUUGCUACAUCUUAGACAGACUUAUUUCUAGUAAUCAGCUUGAUCCAGUGGAGACCAAGUGUUAAAAUUAAAUCUAUUGAAUAUUUAUGGUUUAGUAAUUAACAGAACACAUGUAUUAUUUGAUCCAAAAUAAUGUUAGUGUCAAAACUUCCUAAUGGUUCACUAAACUACCUAGGACGGUAUGAAAAUACUGUAACAUCAGUAGUUUGAUACUGAUUUGCUCAAGAGGCUUGUUCAAUUCCAAUAUUGUGUAACAUAAUACUCUGUCUAAAGAUAAGUAAUUAUAUAAUUGUCUUGGGACUUUGAGCACUGUCCUGUUUGAGAGAUAUUAAUGCUCCUUUGGGAAAAAGUUCAUUUCAUUAAUGCCUUAAGUCCUAUGCAUUUGAUUACAGCUUUUUCCCUAAGCACAAAAUGUUUUUAUUUAAAUAUAUUGAUGUUUUUGUCUCAUGCCUUGUGCUACUUUACUGACUUUUACUAAAAAAAAGACAUGUUUCUAUUCUUUGGUAGAUUUUGCAAGAUGAGAUCUGUGAAAUUGGGCUGUUGAGGGCCAAUGGUUGGCAUGGUGGCAAAAGGCUAAUACUAGUUUCAGAAUCCCAAAUACAAGCAGUGCUAAUAAUUUGUAUUGAGUAAGUAACGAAUGGAGUUUGCAAAGACCUCACUGCUGCUCUUGUCUUCUCAUUUGUUUUCCAUGAUGGAGAGUCAGAGGGUGCUAAAUGCUGUCGAGACUGAUGUUGCAGUCUGUGGCUCUGUGAGUGUUAGGACCUGUCUGUGUUACAACAUCCUGUUCCAGCAAUUAAAAUGUUCUCUCUGUGGUCCAGUCCUGCAAACAGUUGUAUUUACAGAGCUGUAAACACAUACUUCAGAACUGCUCACAUGUUUAUGAUGAUAAAAAAUAGGCUGUGGUUAUUUACUCUGAAAAUUCUUUAGGCUGUUAACUGUUCUUUCAAGUUAGUACAGAGCGAUAAACAUAUGAGUCUGUUUAACAAAGGCCCAUGUGUACAUAUGUUGAAAAGUGAGGGAAAGGCCUUGGUAUUUAAAAAGUACCACACAUUUAGUAUUUAAGAUGUGCCUCUCAGAAGGAGAUAAAAUACAAAGUAUCUCUAAAACCUUACUUUUGAAAUAUUUUCUGCACCUGGACUGGGUGCAUUUGUAUUAAAAAGAGCUUCAUUAUUCACUGGAUGGCAUAAGGAAUUGGUUGUCCAGUCUCUCUUCACUUCUUAAAGUUUCUGGAGAUUAGCAGGUUGGAUGAGAUGCUUUUAUCCAAAGAAAACAUUUAAAAUUACAUGUUUUCAGUGAAAACUUGGAACAAACUAGGUUGACACCUUCUACUCACAAGAGCAGCAUUAAAUGAAGUCAUCAUCUAAAAAUGCAGCCACAGAAUGUAGGUGGUAAGCAGUAUUUGUUGUUCAAGCCUGUGGUUAGAAAAUUUACAAAAACAGAACUCUGGCAGCUUUGUUAGCAUGAUGAAUUUUAUGCUGCCUUGAUAUGUGGUCAUUUAGAAUCUAAAUACAUUUAGAAUGCAUUUAUUGUAAAUAUGUGUCUUGUCUAAAGCUGAAGAGCACAACAGCUUAAUUCCAGUCGUAAGUUGUAGUUGACAGAAUAAUGACCAGAAACCUUAAGAUCCUUUCUCAUUUUUCUUUUUCCAAAUCUACCUGCUGAAUUUUCUGGUUUUAUUGCAGAUAUCUUCAGAAAAUAAUUAACCAGUUAUUUCUGUAAGUGGCACAUUUCACAAUGACUUGGUUGGCGGUCUGUAGAAAAUUCUGUAAACAUAGAGAGCAGCUUCUUGAAGUGGACUAUGCUUUAUUUUCAGGAUUUGCAGUAGGCUAAUUUAUAAUGUUCUUGAACACUGAAAGUGGAAGAAGCAACAAGGUUAGCAUUUUAACAGUUGCUUAAUUAGGUACUAGAAGGUAAUGUAUUUCAAGUAAUGAUGUAUUUUAGUAGCUGAACAUUGGAAAUAUAUUUUUAUGUCAAGCUGAGAUUGGUGUGUCUUGAUGGAGGCUUUCAUAUGCAAUAUUCUUUCUCGGCUGGCCUGUAGGUACUAAUGGGCUGCAGUGAAAUGGAAUGGAAUAAUUUCCCUAAAGAUAUUUUAGUAGCAGAGGAAAUAUUACAAGUAAAUCUCUGUGACCUAGAACAAGAUUUUUUAAAUCUGCAGUAUUGCUACUAUUGCUUUAAAAGGAGCUACAGAAAAAUAGCAAAGCAGAAAUUGGAUCGGAAUUCAUAAGUUCUAAUGAUAAACUGUGCUACUGUAAAAUUGUAUUGUGUUGUCUUUCAUUACCAAUCGAAGAGGAAUAUGAACUUUCCCAAGUCAAUUUCUGACAGGAACUUCAGAGGGUCUUUUGGUAAGGAAAGUUUUGAAGUCUUUCUGAGGUCACAAAGGUCAAAUAUUUAUUAGCUGUUUUCUCAAGGUUUUAGUUCUGUAGCAGCUGUACCUCACCAACAGUCAUAGCAGGAUGAUUUCUGGGAUUCUUAGUGGGAAGAAAUCUGUUGCUGGAUUGUUGGCAUGCUGAGGAAGAUGAGACUUAAUAGUGCGUUGAGGGGAUUGAUAAUUGAAUGUGUAAAAAUUUGUGUUGGUCAAUUUAUGGGCAAAAACUCCAUAAAGCCCUUUAUCAGCUGAGAUGGGAAAUUCAGGUCCCUUCCUACUUUAUAUUACUAGUUAAGGUAACAGUAUGACACUUUUCAUCUAGUCUGAACUUCUGUGAAGCUUUUUAUGCCAGAAAAAGCAUUAGGUCUUGAAAAUGGUAUAAAAUCUGAUUAUGUUUUCUCUUGAUGGAAUAUUUCAAUAGCUAGUAAUCGCUCUGUAGAAAGAGCAUGGGUGUAUUGUGAUUACAAUUUGACUUCAGUUUUCACUUCUUGGAAAAGAAGGGAUGGCUCUGCAAGAGGUGAGUAGUAUCUUAUGUCGUCCUGCUGGAAUGCAUUUGAAUGUUAAAAAAAAAAAAGAUGCAGUGAAAUGCAUGGGUUGACUUCCUAAAACCUUGUGUUAUACCUGCCUUCCUUAGUCCCAUCACCGUGAGGGGGAAUUUGCAAUCUUCUUCUAAGAAGGAGAUAAAUCUCUAUUACUGUUUUUUAUAUUGAUCUCUGUACAGGUAAAAUCCCUGCUUUCUUUGUACACUAUUGAUUGUGCUUCCAGGGUGAGUGUCACAUUUUGUCACUUAACACACCACGCUAAGUUGAGAUCUUGUGCUCAAUCCCCUGUCCCUUAUGACCUUGAUCCCUUUUUCAGAGUCAGUAGUUUUUCACUCUGAUGUUUUCCCAGUGUAUGGCUUGUUUUCCCAGGGUAUAGCUUUGUGUUCUUUUCCUGGAUGUGUAACCUGAGAUGUGGGUAUUGAAGAAUAAUAGAAGUUUUGAACAGCAUGCUUUAUCAUUUGUUGCAGAACUUCUGUGUGAUGGCCCAGUUCUUUUGUUCAUCAGUGUCAGCUGUUGGGUUGUCCACAAAUACAAUUGGCAGUGAGUUUAUGCAUACAUACACACCUUUGAAGAAAAUGUGAAAUAAUCUUAAACCUGGUAAUGCUCCCAGAGCAGCUCUUUAAGUACUCUACCGAAAUACAAUUCCCUUCUAUUUGUGAGGUUUUGUUACAUAUAGAUUAGGAAAACAUAAUCUUAGGAAAACAUAAUCUUACAAAAAAAAUAGGUAAAUGGAAAACCUCUCUAGCAUAUCCAUUCCUACCCUGCUGGGUUUUCUUGUAUUUUGCCCUGGGCAAUUCAGACUGCUCUGCCUACAAAUAAUAUGGUGACUCUCCACAUCCUCCAACACUGGUGCAACAUAAGGCCCUUGUGGUCCUUUGGGCUUUAGUGCUGUUUCAAUGCCUUAAUACUAAAUCAAUAUCAAUAGCAAACAUCGUUCUUCCAGAGUCCUUGUUGGGGAGCUGUCCAAAUCUGCUGUUUAAAAAGGUUGUACUUUGAUUGAUGAUGAUUAAUAAUGUCAUCAGCUGCAAAUAAACUCUGAUUUUUUUUUUCUGUCAAAA